AUCCGGUUGACGAGUCUCAAACAGGGCGAAGCACGUGUUGUGGAU
Molecule: non-coding RNA, 45 nt
Filed under: Schistosoma mansoni
Lineage: Eukaryota; Metazoa; Platyhelminthes; Trematoda; Strigeidida; Schistosomatidae
Source: RNAcentral